This 484-nucleotide ribosomal RNA is filed under the name uncultured bacterium. Its description in RNAcentral is "partial 16S ribosomal RNA". It matches the Rfam family "Bacterial small subunit ribosomal RNA", at positions 30 to 507 of the family's 1533-position model. The record is from RNAcentral.
AUUGAACGCUGGCGGAAUGCUUUACACAUGCAAGUCGAGCGGCAGCACGGGGGCAACCCUGGUGGCGAGCGGCGAACGGGUGAGUAAUACAUCGGAACAUGCCCAGUCGUGGGGGAUAACACUUCGAAAGAAGUGCUAAUACCGCAUACGUCCUGAGGGGGAAAGCGGGGGAUCGCAAGACCUCGCGCGAUUGGAGUGGCCGAUGUCAGAUUAGCUAGUUGGUGGGGUAAAGGCCCACCAAGGCAACGAUCUGUAGCUGGUCUGAGAGGAUGAUCAGCCACACUGGGACUGAGACACGGCCCAGACUCCUACGGGAGGCAGCAGUGGGGAAUUUUGGACAAUGGGGGCAACCCUGAUCCAGCCAUUCCGCGUGAGUGAAGAAGGCCUUCGGGUUGUAAAGCUCUUUCGGCAGGAACGAAACGGUGAGCUCUAACAUAGCUUGCUAAUGACGGUACCUGAAGAAGAAGCACCGGCUAACUACGUG